UACGUAGGGUGCGAGCGUUGUCCGGAAUUACUGGGCGUAAAGAGCUUGUAGGUGGUUUGUCGCGUUGUUCGUGAAAACCGGGGGCUUAACCCUCGGCGUGCGGGCGAUACGGGCAGACUUGAGUACUGCAGGGGAGACUGAAUUCCUGGUGUAGCGGUGGAAUGCGCAGAUAUCAGGAGGAACACCGGUGGCGAAGGCGGGUCUCUGGGCAGUAACUGACGCUGAGGAGCGAAAAGCGUGGGGAGCGAACAGG
This 253-nucleotide ribosomal RNA is filed under the name uncultured bacterium. RNAcentral describes it as "partial 16S ribosomal RNA". It matches the Rfam family "Bacterial small subunit ribosomal RNA", at positions 524 to 776 of the family's 1533-position model. The record is from RNAcentral.